RNAcentral lists this long non-coding RNA (3933 nucleotides) under Paramuricea clavata. Lineage: Eukaryota; Metazoa; Cnidaria; Anthozoa; Malacalcyonacea; Plexauridae. The record is from RNAcentral.
GCCUGAUGCAAGUCUUGACCCACACCAAAGUUUUAUUUUUAGUACCGGUAUCCAAUCAAAAUGUGCCAGGCGCAAUGUCAAAUUAUUUCACAUAAUUUAACAACAAGCUAAAUAUAGUUACAAUCACUAUUUAAUCUAUCAUUAUUUAAUUAUAUAUAGCACUAACCAAAAUAUCAAAAAAAAUACAUUAAAUAUGGCAUGAAUACUCAUGCUAGAAGUAGCCGGCAAUCAGAGUUACAACCAUAAAGGCAGUUGUAGGACACAAACAUUUAAUAACAUGUGACUUUAUCAGGUCUUCACUUUUCUUUGCCUGCCAGCUGUGAGAAAAAUGAAGGUCUGCAUGGGCACAGGUUAUAUAAAUCCCAUGUAAACAGAGAUGAAAUUUGCCUCAGUAAAGCAAGCUGUCAAGUUUGGUAAUGGGGCUGGUUUGCCUCCAGACAAACAAAUCUCUGUAAAUACUGUAAAAUGUCUAAAAUGUCAAACUACCUCAUCCCCCCACCCCCCUCACAACCCCCCUCCUGGUAUGAACAGCAGUAUCAAAUAGACACAAACUUUAAUUAUUAUGUUAUAAAUACAUACAAAUCUACAUUAACUGUGGAGCCAAUUUUCCACUUUAUGCACUUCUUGAACUGAACAAUUAACAAUGUACUACAAUGUAAAAUAUACAUAAAUUCCACUUACUUUAGAGCCCUAGUGGCCGUAGUGGGCAUCUCACAUUCUCACAGUAUAAAUAUACUUCAAUUCUUGUGCUCACUGCUCAGUUGAAAGAUCAAAUUCAUUCCAAACCUUGGUAAUUAAUUCGACUGUAACUUAAUUCCUCUCCAUCAUAUUCGAGGGAUAUUUUGCAUAUGUGUUUGCAUAUCCUUGCCGCCAUGACUUGAAUCAAAUGCCUCGUUACGUCACAGUAGAUUUUGAUUUUGAAAUUUGCAUCAGUGAACUGAUGCGAGCGCCCGCAAUCUGCAUGCGAUGCAUCGCUCAGCGGACUAAUCUACCGUGACGUAGGGCUCUAAAACAAUAGAUUUGAUGAUGUCACAGUAGAUUUUACGCGGAAAAGGACUCGGGACCGAUGCAUUCACUGAUGCAAAAUGGCUGAAAAUCGAUGCAAACAAAAUCUACCGUGACGUAGGUGCAACCUCGUACCCAGGCUCUUACCUUCGCACGCCCCAAGCUGCGGAAAGACCCUGGUGCCGGCUGGUCACGUGGCUCCCAAAUUUUGGGUGCUAAAAUAAAUUGCUAUUCAGGGAGGGGUGGUAGAAAUGAUUUGUACGUAUUGAAAUUGUUUCUGAAUUUGUAAAAUAGUAAAAUUCUAACUGUAAUAAAAUAAUAAAAAAAAAUAAUAAUAAAAAGAAAAUAAUAAUAAAAGAUUUUUUCUGGACGAAAUGUUAAAACAACAGAUUAAUCAUGUGUUGCAGCCGAAAGAGUAUCAUAUUACUCUCAAGGAUUACAAAUAUCUCAUAUUUCACUGUCACUAUAUCGGCUUAGCUAAAGCACGCCAAAGAAAUUUAACAAAAAGAUCUCCUGGAUCAACUGAAAAUAGUUCUCGUUGUCGAUUAUAUAAUGGUGUACAAGAUCAGAUACAUUGUAAGAAUCUCUUCAACAAAACAAAUUAAGGAAUUUUGAAUAACACGGAGUUGAUUCAUGGCGAGAGACUGCCGCAUGUUGAUGAUUUUCCUUUAAUAUUUGAUCUGCCGAUCGAGUGCCGUCCUUGUGAACGACGUUCAAGAAUGUAAUUUCCGAAACACAGAAAUCAUUAGUAAAAGAUUCACGAUCCAAGCGAUGCCCUGAAGUUUUUCUAUCCGUUGCCAGAUCUUCGGCAAAUGUUGCUGCAGUUGAAAGUCGAAGGCGCAGUUUGGCUUUUACACUGACUUUGUCAAUCAGUCAAUGUGUCCUCCUCGAGUGAUAAAACUAGAUCUGCUACACCUUUACCCAUGUCAACAGAAGUAAGUCAAUUGUCUAUGAAUAUCAUCUACCAAUAAACUUUACCGCAAUUAAUAAUAUAGUCAUCCGUAUACGUAUGUUAGUAAUCCCCAUUUAAACCCAAAAUGUACAAUCCAAUUGUGAUUUCUCCAUGGAAUAUUUUUUGCGAAUAUUUAUAGAAUGGCAGACGCGCGAAGGCCACUUGAUUUCAGUCGAGAUAUUUGAUCUUGUAUCAGUGAAUUCAAGGGAGACACAACUAUAACAAUACACGAACCGUCCUGAGUAGAUAUCUCAAAUGAUUUCCAUGGAGAAAGAAAAUCGACUUGUUUAUUAAAUAUGAUCCCUUGCAAACAUCAACAAUGGGUCAGAUAAAAAUCACAGACUUUCCAUAUAAAGCGUUGGCAGGAUACAAAUUAUAAAUAACAUCUUUUGUCGAAUAAAUAAUAUAUGUUUAAGUACAUUUAAGAGUUUGUUAAGGCCCGUUUACACGGGCAAAUUGAAUGUCAAAGAUAUUUUGCUCGUGUAGAUGAUAAAUUUGUGACAAAUUUAUUGUGACAAAUGCAUUUAAUUUGAUCAAAAGCUAGCAUAUAGCAUGCUGCAUGCUAGCUUUUGAUCAAAUGCAUUUGAUCAAAUAAAAUUUGUAAAAAUAAAAUUUGCUCGCGUGCUUUACGACAGUAUUAUUUGAAAGCCCUGCACAGUUGUUUUGAUGCAGGACCCAAGAACACGGACAUCUGUAUGUUUAAAUUGCAACUCUUGUCGAAGUUUGAACACAAUGUUAUCAAUCGUGUAAUUUAACCUGGCGAAAUUGAAUAAAUAAAUAAUUUUUAAAUACUUUCCAAACAAAGAACUUGCUUAGUUGGUUCGGCUUUAGUACAGUAUGUUGUUAUGAAAUGCGCUAUUUAGAACAACGAAUUCCAAACAAGCAAGAAAUGCAAUGAAACUCGAGCAUCUUCGUUCGAGUUUCCGUUGAAAUUAUCAACUUUGCUUCUAUGGCCUGGCAGCAUGUGAAUGACAAAAAGAACACAAACGCGCGCAUAAUUGUCAAUUUGACAAGAAGUUUUCCUUGAAGUAUUCAAUACAAAUUAUACAAUGACAAAUUGCGAUAUAAAGUGCUCUCAAAUUACACUUUUUGCAAUUCAAACCAAUACGUCCGCUCCUUGCCAACGAAUUUUACUAUUGCAAAGUGGAAGCAUUGUAAUUUAGAUUUGUCCAUCCCUCCCUUGGUAAUUUAAUAUUCUGGGAGCCACGUGACAAGCCGGCACCAGGGUCUUUCCGCAGCUUGGGGCGUGCGAAGGUAAGAGCCUGGGUACGAGGUUGACGUAGGUGAUGCAUCAGCUUUCUACUGUGACGUCAAAGAAUGCGGUAAAAAAUAAUAUAUUUUGUCGCGAAAUUAUUCACGCUUAAGUGUCGCAAAAUAAAAAGUAAAUAACAGAAAAUACUUUUGCGAUCGCACGUCGCAUAUUGGACUUAUUUUCACAAUUUCGACUGUUAUUGAGACAAUUUAAAUUGGAUUUCAUCCUAAAUAGUGUAUUCCCGACAUGGACAGUCACAUGGAGUCAAGUUUAAGCAAAUAUUUGCAGUUUGAUAGCUGGAGAGAUUCAAAGAUAUUCUAUUACUGAGUGCUUGACUAAGUAUUGACGACAUAUUAUUUCAAGCAACAUGAUUUCUCAAUUUUGACCGAUGCAUUCGCAUCGUUGGCAUCGGUCUGGAUCCGCCCCUGCGUUAAUCAUAUGACGCCAACAAUCUAUCCAACUAACUGUAAUUAUAAAAUAUAUUUGCAUAUUUUAACAUUAAUUUUAAAUAUUUUGAAUAUCAUUUCUUAUUCAGGUGUAUAUAGAACUUCGGUACUUCUAAAAUGUGAAAAUUGGUUGCAAUUAUACAAUAAUUCAUGCUUUAUACAACCGACAGUUUUUCAGACAAUCCUAGACAAAUAACAUGCGGACGCUGAUUAAAAAUGGCUGAAAUUUAAAGGAAUCGAAUAAUUAUACGCAUAUUCGGCCGUAUUCCCCGCUCCCA